This 207-nucleotide ribosomal RNA is filed under the name uncultured bacterium. RNAcentral describes it as "partial 16S ribosomal RNA". It matches the Rfam family "Bacterial small subunit ribosomal RNA", at positions 568 to 774 of the family's 1533-position model. The record is from RNAcentral.
CACGUAGGCGGUUUGUUAAGUCGGAUGUGAAAGCCCCGGGCUCAACCUGGGAACUGCAUUCGAUACUGUCAGACUAGAGUAUAGAGGAGGCAAGUGGAAUUCCGGGUGUAGCGGUGAAAUGCGUAGAUAUCCGGAGGAACAUCAGUGGCGAAGGCGACUUGCUGGUCUAAUACUGACGCUGAGGUGCGAAAGCGUGGGGAGCAAACG